CGGCGCACGGGUGAGUAACGCUACAUGACCCGCCCUUUACUGGGGGAUAGCCUCGGGAAACUGAGAUUAAUACCCCAUGGUAUUAUUAUGCUGCAUGGUAUGAUAAUUAAAGCUGAGGCGGUAAAGGAUGGGUGUGCGUCUGAUUAGCUAGUUGGAAAGGUAACGGCUUACCAAGGCGAUGAUCAGUAGGGGGCGUGAGAGCGUGAACCCCCACACGGGUACUGAGACACGGACCCGACUCCUACGGGAGGCAGCAGUAAGGAAUAUUGGUCAAUGGAGGAAACUCUGAACCAGCCAUCCCGCGUGAAGGAUGAAGGGGCUCUGCCUUGUAAACUUCUUUUGAAUGGGACGAAAAAAGGGGAUUUAUCCUCGAUGACGGUACCAUUAGAAUAAGCACCGGUUAACUCCGUGCCAGCAGCCGCGGUAAUACGGAGGGUGCAAGCGUUAUCCGGAAUCACUGGGUUUANAGGGUGCGUAGCGGCUAAAUAAGUCAGGUGGUGAAAGGCCGUGGUUAACCAUGGGAUUGCCAUUGAUAACUUGNAUAAGCUUUGACGGUGAGGAUGAGGGUCUCGGCGGGAACUGUCGGCCAUGUUCACCGGG
This 600-nucleotide ribosomal RNA is filed under the name uncultured bacterium. Its description in RNAcentral is "bacterial SSU rRNA". It matches the Rfam family "Bacterial small subunit ribosomal RNA", at positions 96 to 707 of the family's 1533-position model. The record is from RNAcentral.